This 7158-nucleotide long non-coding RNA is filed under the name Homo sapiens (human). RNAcentral's name for it is "non-protein coding PSMG3-AS1:21". The record is from RNAcentral. Lineage: Eukaryota; Metazoa; Chordata; Mammalia; Primates; Hominidae.
CUUCCGGAAGUCAGGGCCGCGGCGCUUCUGGUCCCGGAGACUUGGGGCUCCCGGGCUUCUGAGCGGCUCGGGUUCCGCGCUGCCGGCAGGGCUUGGGGGCGCCUUAGAGCCGAACCCCGUUUUUUCAGGAAAGGGCGCUGCGACCACCCCCGUCCCGGGCCUCAGCCCCUCUGCUGCAGACCCUCGGGAUCGUCGCUGGUAGGAGCUCUGUCCCCCGUGUCUGUGUCCAGGACCCCCGAAGCGCCGCGCCUAGGAACCCCCUAGCGCUGGGAGCCCGGCCCUGCUCGACCACGGGCUUUGGGCUGGAGGCGUCAUCGUCGCCACAGCGAACGCUUAUUUGGCACCGAGUGUCCGCCAGGCAUCGCUCUAAGCGCUUUAUACCCAUAACUCACUUCAUCUCAGCCACCCGGUUCCGUAGAAGCGUUUCAUCCGCGUUUUACAGACGUGUGCAGGUGCAGAGAGCUCGGCCAGGCUCAGGCGGCGGGCGGGCUGGGGUGGGCUCCGACCGUCCCUCGGGCGCUCCGUGACACGAAGCCCCGGCCAAGGCCAAGAAGGGGGCCAGCCCCACCCUGAAGCGGGAUGAGUUCUGGUUCCUCCCAGGGACCCCCUCACUCCCUACUGCUCACUCUCAGUUUCUCCAAGCUGGAAGGUUUUUUGUUUUGUUUUGUUUGAGACGGAGUCUUGCUGUGUCACCCAGGCUGGAGUGCAGUGGCGCGAUCUCGGCUCACUGCAGCCUCCGCCUCCCUGGUUCAAGCAAUUCUCCUGCCUCAGCCUCCUGUGUAGCUGGGAUUACAGGCGUGCGCCACCAGGCCCGGCUAACUUUUUAAAUUUUUAGUAGAGAUGGGGUUUCACCAUGUCGGUCAGGCUGGUCUUGAACUCCUGACCUCAGGUGAUCUGCCUUCCUCGGCCUCCCAAAGUGCUGGGAUUACAGGCGUGAGCCACCGCGCCCCGCUGCUGGAAGUUUUAUUGGUAGGGUCGGACAUCUUGGUAGCAGAGGCUGAAAGUGAUUGGAGCCUCCAGAGCCUUCCUCGGGGUGGGGCGUUUAACAUCCCUUCAGAACCCCACCCUCGGAGGCCUUACUGUCGUUUCCUGACAACCAUGUCAAGGCCGUAUUUUCUGUCUAUAUUACCAGAAAGGGGUCCCGAUCCAGACCCCAAGAGAGAAUUGAGGGCGAGUCCACAAAGUGAAAGCAAGUUUAUUAGAAAAGUAAAGGAAUUGAGGCAGGAAAACAGGGUCUGGAGGCAGGGAACACUUCAGCUAUGACAGGAAAUACCCUCUCCAUAGGGUGUACACUGAGUAAAUGAUUUUGUAACUUUAUUUCAUCCUCUUUAUUUACAUAGGGCGUACACCAAGUAACCAGUAGAAACCCCUAGAGGGUAUUUAAACCUCACAAGUUCUGUAAUGGGGCCCUGAGCCUCUAUGCUUUGGCCGCCCCCACACCAUGGAAUGUACUUUCAUUUUCAAAAAAUUUCUGCUUUUGUUGCUUCAUUCUUUUUUUGCUUUGUGCAUUUUUUUUUUUUUGAGACAGAGUCUCUGUUGUCCAUGCUGGAGUGCAGUGGCGUGAUCCUCACUGCAACCUCUGCCUCCCGGGUUCAAGCAAUUCUCCUGCCUCAGCCUCCUGAGUAGCUGAGAUUACAGACGUGCGUCACCAUGCCCGGCUAACUUUUGUGUUUUUAGUAGAGACGAGGUUUCGCCAUGUUGGCCAGGCUGGUCUUGAACUCCUGACCUCAGGUGAUCUGCCCGCCUCGGCCUCCCAAAGUGCUGGGAUUAUAGGUGUGAGCCACCGCGCCCGGUGGCUUUGUGCAUUUUGUCCAAUUCUUUGUUCAAGAUGCCAAGAACCUGGACACCCUCCACCAGUAACAGAAUAAAGAAUGGCUACUCCAUAGGCAGAGCAGCAUGGGCUGCUGGUUGCCCAUUUUUGUGGUUAUUUCUUGAUGAUAUGCUAAACAAGGGGUGGAUUAUUCGUGCCUUACCUUUUUAAACCCUUUAGGGUAACGUCCUGGCAUUGCUAUGGCAUUUGUAAACUUACGGCGCUGGUGGGAGUGUAGCAGCUGGGACGACCAGAGGUCACACUCAUCGCCAUGUUGGUUUGGUGGGUUUUGGUCAGCUUCUUUACUGCAAACUGUUUUAUCAGUAAGGUCUUUAUGACCUGUAGCUUGUGCCGACCUCUUAUCUCAUCCUGUGACAUAGAAUGCCUUAACUGUCUGGGAAUGCAGCCCAGCAGAUCUCAGCCUCAUUUUACCCAGCCCCUAUUCAAGAUGAAGUUGCUCUGGUUCAAACACCUCUGACAUUUACACCACUGAAGCUCCAAGGAAGAUCUUGACUCCCUCUUCUCACCAUUUGAUGACUUCGUAUCCAAUCCAAGUCAAGUCAAAUGAAGCAUGCUCCUUCCAAUGAUGAUUUCUGGAGGCCUAAAAUAAAAAGCAUGCAUACAGAAAAUGAUCAAAAUAGACAUAAAUCAAGGGGAAAUUCAUUUUUGAGCAUUCUUGCAGCCAGUACACAAAAGGAGAGAUGAUGAGUUUCAUGGUUCUAAUACUCAAAAAACAGGAAGCAUAUCAACUUCCCAGGAAAGUCUAAGUUUCUGUCGGCUCUAAAUUUAAACACACAUCCACCCACACAUACCCCACAAGCAAAUUGCCAGUGGAUUGCUUUGCCAUCUGAAAUCUUCAAAAGGUUCACUCGCUUUUAUUCACCUGUUUGUGUAUUCUCCCUCUCUGUAGGCAAAUAGAUACAAGAAAUCUGAUCCUGUCCUCUCAAAGAAAACCCUCUGAAAUAAACUUAUCACCUUUAAAAAAGGGAUGUUGAAGAACAAGAUGGAUUUUUGUUGUUGUUGUCGUUUUUUGAGAUGGAGUCUCGCUCUUGUCGUCCAGGCCGGAAUGCGGUGGUGCGAUCUCGGCUCACUGCAACCUCCGCCUCCCAGGUUUAAGCGAUUCCCCUACCUCAGCCUCAUGAGUAGCUAGGAUUAUAGGCACCUGCCACCACGCCCGGCUAAUUUUUGUAUUUUUAGUAGAGACUGGGUUUCGCCAUGUUGGCCAGGCUGGUCUCAAUCUCCUGACCUCAGGUGAUCUGCCCGCCUCGGCCUCCCAAAGUGCUGGGAUUACAGACGUGAGCACCCAGCCUGGAUGUUGUUUUUGAUGACACUGCUAAGCACUUAUGUGAGGGAUUGUUUGGGUGGUUUGGGUCUAGAUCUAAGAUAAAGACAGUAGGAAAGAAAUGAGAGGUGGAAGGUUGUCCUAGGCUGAGGUGGUGGUCCAGGGACUUUCUGGCAGCCUGGAUGGAUGCCUGGGCAGAAUUUAUAUAUCUAGAAGAAUGGAAGAGGACCUCAUUGCAUGCCAUUGACUGUUCUCCAGUACCCAAGGGUAAAGGAACUGGAAAGAAAGACUCACUCAAGUGCAUUCACAUAAAAUGGGAAUCUAAUAGUAAUGGUGCCAAUUGUGGGGCAAAGAGUUCAAGGAGUUAUUUUGAAAAAUGAAAAAAAAAGCAAAGUAUCUUAAAUUUGUCUUAUAUUCAAUAAAUUGUCGGUGAUAAUGCUAUGGUGUGUGCAUUUGUAGAACCAACAAAGACUUAGUCAAGUGCCGAUUUGGUAGGAUUGUAAUUUUUCCGACAAAUUGUAUGAUCGCUACACACGUUAUCCUUCCCAUUGUGUGUGAUUUUCCCAGCUCCAGGAUGAAGAGGAUUGGUUUUACAAAAAUGGGCAAGGACACCAUCAAUUUCCCCACAAGUCUCUCUCUCUCUCUUUUUUUUUUUUUUUUUUUUAGACAGAAUUUCACUGUGUCGCUAGGCUGGAGUGCAGUGGCAAGAUCUUGGCUCACUGCAAUCUCCACCCUCCAGGUUCAAGCGAUUCUCCUGCCUCAGCCUCCUGAGUAGCUGGGAUUACAGGCACCCACCACCACGCCUGGCUAAUUUUUGCAUUUUUAGUAGCGACGAGGUUUCACCAUGUUGGCCAGGCUGGUCUUGAUCUCUUGACCUUGCGACCCGCCCGCCUUGGCCUCCCAAACUGCUGGGAUUACAGGCGUGAGCCACCGCACCUGGCCACGUCUCUCUUCAUCGUUUAAUAGUCUCACCCUUUCUUGUUGAAGGACCAUCCGGCCAUUAGCCAUGGGCGUGGCCUCACUCUCAGCCGCCUGACUGUGUAGCUUUGCCAGGGCCUCCCACACUGACCCACUGCUUUGGUCUCCAUCUGAGCAUCCCUGGCAUCCCAUUUGUGGGCUUCCUGAAACCGUUUUUUUUUUUUUUUUUUUUUUUUGAGAUGGAGUUUUGCUCUUGUUGCCCAAGCUGGAGUGUAAUGGUGCAAUCUCGGCUCAUUACAACCUCCGCCUCCCAGGUUCAAACAAUUCUCCUGCCUCAGCCUCCCAAGUAGCUGGAAUUACAGGCAUGCACCACCACGCCUGGCUAAUUUUGUGUUUUUAGUAGAGAUGGAGUCUCUCUAUGUUGGUCAGGCUGGUCACGAACUCCUGACAGGUGAUCCGCCCACCUUGGCCUCCCAAAGUGUUGGGAUUACAGGCGUGAGGCACUGUGCCUGGCCUAGAUUCCUGAAACCUUAUGUCUCUUGGAAGAUAGACGGUUUGGCUUUGCAGCUGAUGUGCUUUGUAUUUCCACAGCCUCACGACACGCUCUCCCAUCCUCUCAACAGGAAAGAUUCUGAAGCUUGGCGGAGAGGGGUGUGUGAGUGGACACCAGUGAAGUAACGGUUUUUGUGUUACGAUGAUUUCUGUUUUCCUCUGCUGCCCUGUAAUGGCAGGAACUCGGAUAGUCUGGUCUUCAGACCAGGAGGACUCCCAGGAGAGAACGGAGAGCCAGUGUGCUGUGUGUCACGGUCCCUGGAUGAACGUUUGUGGAACUGGAUUGAAUUAAACAAGACGUGCAAAGCAAGUGGUUCACGAGGUAGUGUGGGGGUGUAGGGAUGGGGACUGACCCGGGAGGCAGGACACAGCCCAAGCCCUGCCUUGGCCUCACCUCUAACUUGCUGAUGACCUUGGAUGAUUCCCUUCCCAUCCUGGGCCUCUGUUUUCUCAUCUGUAAAAUGGGCAGAUUGGCAAUGUGGCCUCCAGGUCUGUACUUCUGUGAUUGCUGUGUUUCCUGGGGGGUUCCUAUCUACUCUCAAGACUCUCGAACUGGGGUGGGGAAUGUGGGAUCAAGGAGGAAGGGGUGGCCCGGUGGUCCUGCCUGUGGAAGGUAGGGAGUGUGGUAGGGUGGGAAGGUGGGAAGGGCCUCACUGCCCGAAGGUCCUGUCUGUGUCUGUGGGUUAGUCUAGAGGCCUGACUGCAUGGCGGGCUGGAGCAGGCAGACUGGACACAGCACGAGCACUUUCUGAAUGCCGGAACUUUCCGAGGCCUUCCAUGGCAGGUGGGGAGAGCCCUGCCCCAGAGGAACUGAGCCCUGGGCCUGUGGGGCUUUGCAUCAGAGAUUUCUGCAUUUGGGAGGCUGCACUCAGACUGUGAAAGGCUUUUGCAAACCCAAACGGCUGUCAUUCUGUAAGUCAAGUUACAACUGAUAGCCACAGGGGAUACUGCUCAAUGCACCUCUGACAGCUAACAAAAAACAGAAUGCAAAUUCAAGCUAAAGAUAAGGCUGGGCGUGGUGGCCCACGCCUGCAGACGUAGCUACUUGGGAGGCUGAGUUGGGAGGAUCACUUGAAGCCAGGAGUUUGAGGCCACCCUGGGCAACAUAGCAAGACCCUGUCUCUACAAAAAAUAAAUAAAUCAGCUGGGCGUGGUGAGAUGCACCUGUAAUUCCAGCUACUUGGGAGGCUGAGGUAAGAGGAUCGCUUAAGCCCAGGGGUCCGAGGCUGCAGCGAGCUAUGAUCAUGCCACUGCACUCCAGCCUGGGUGACAGGAAAGUAAAGGAAUAAAAGGGUGGCUACUCCCAUAGGCAGAGCUUCCCUGGGUGCUGCUGACUGGCUAUUGUUAGGGUUAUUUCUUGAUCACAUGCUAUACAAAGGGCUGAAUUAUUCAUGCAUUUUCUGGAAAAGAGGUGAGGAAUUCCAAGAACUGAGGCUUCCUCACCUUUUUAGACCAUGUUGGGUAACUUUUCGACGUUGCCAUGGCAUUUGUAAACGGUCAUGGCACUGGUGGAAGUGUCUUUUCACAUGUUAAUGGAUUAUAAUUAGCAUGUAAUGAGCAGUGAGGACGACCAGAGGUCGCUUUCCUCGCCAUCUUGGAUUUGGUGGGUUUCGGCUGGCUUCUCUACCACACUCUGUUUUAUCAGUGGGGUCUUUGUGACCUGUGUCUUCUGAAACCCGUCCUGCUACCUCCUAUCUCAGAGUCAUGUAGUGUGUGUAGCCUUUCCUGAUUGGCUUCUCCUAUUGAAGAUACUAAUUCAACCAGGUUGUUGCCCACAUCAGUAAUUAAUCUCUUUUUUUUUGCUGGGUAGUAUAGUCUAUUGUCUGGAUGCACCACCGUUUAUUUAUCCAUUCUUCUAUUGAAGACAUUUGGGUUAUAUCCAGCUUGGUCCACUAUGAAUAAAGCCACCAUUGACCUUCAUGUACAGGUGUUUGCGAGAACAUAAAUGUUCACUUCUCUUGGGAAAUACUUGGGAGUGGGAUUGCUAAGUAGCAUGGCAGAUACGUGCUUAAUUCUAGAAGCUUCCAAGCUGCUCUCCAAAGUGUCUGCACCACUGUGCAUUCCCUCCAGCAGUGCAGGCACGUCUCAGUUGCUCUGUAUUCCUGCCGAACAGACAUCUGUCCAUCCAUCCACCCAUCCAUCCAUCCGCUCAUCCAUCCAUCCAUCCAUCCAUCCAUCCACUCAUCCAUCCAUCCACCCACCCAUCCAUCCGCUCAUCCAUCCAUCCAUCCGUCCAUUCAUCCAUCCACUCACCCAUGCAUUCAGUCAUCUAUCCAUCCAUUCACCCAUCUAUCCAUCCACCCACCCAUCCAUCCACUCAUCCAUCCACCCAUCCAUCCAUCCACCCACCCAUCCACUCAUCCAUCCAUCCACCCACCCAUCCAUCCAUUCAGUCAUCUAUCCAUCCAUUCACCCAUCUAUCCAUCCACCCACCCAUCCAUCCACUCAUCCAUCCACCCAUCCAUCCAUCCACCCACCCAUCCAUCUGCUCACCCGUCCAUCCAUCCAUCCAUCCAUCUACCCACCCAUCCAUCCAUUCAUCCACCCAUCCAUCCACUCAUCCAUCCAUCCACCUACCCAUCUGUCCACUCAUCCA